GAUCAUGGCUCAGGACGAACGCUGGCGGCGCGCCUAACACAUGCAAGUCGAACGAGAGAGAGGGAGCUUGCUUCCUCAAUCGAGUGGCGAACGGGUGAGUAACGCGUGAGGAACCUGCCUCAAAGAGGGGGACAACAGUUGGAAACGACUGCUAAUACCGCAUAAGCCCACGACCCGGCAUCGGGAAGAGGAAAGGAGCAAUCCGCUUUGAGAUGGCCUUGCGUCCGAUUAGCUAGUUGG
This 240-nucleotide ribosomal RNA is filed under the name uncultured bacterium. Its description in RNAcentral is "partial 16S ribosomal RNA". It matches the Rfam family "Bacterial small subunit ribosomal RNA", at positions 15 to 252 of the family's 1533-position model. The record is from RNAcentral.